UCUGAUGGGAACAGAUGGGCACCC
This 24-nucleotide non-coding RNA is filed under the name Cricetulus griseus (Chinese hamster). Lineage: Eukaryota; Metazoa; Chordata; Mammalia; Rodentia; Cricetidae. The record is from RNAcentral.